GAUCAAGUGUCUUAAGGGCAAUUGGUGGAUGCCUUGGCAUGCACAGGCGAUGAAGGACGUGAUACGCUGCGAUAAGCUACGGGGAGGUGCGAAUACCCUUUGAUCCGUAGAUUUCCGAAUGGGGAAACCCACCUAAGGUGCUUGGAAAAUCAGAGUAGCAGGGCAACCUGCUGCUGUGGUUUCCAAGUAUCGAUAAUAGGUAACUUACCCUGAAUAAAAUAGGGGUAAAGUGGCGAACGCGGGGAACUGAAACAUCUAAGUACCCGUAGGAAAGGACAUCAACCGAGACUCCGGCAGUAGUGGCGAGCGAACCCGGACCAGGCCAGUGGCGAUGAUGAGACAAGCGGAACCUUCUGGAAAGUAGGGCCAUAGUGGGUGACAGCCCCGUACGCGUAAUGCAAAUCAUCGUCCUCGAGUAAGGCGGGACACGUGAAAUCCUGUCUGAAAUUGGGGGGACCACCCUCCAAGCCUAAGUACUCGUGCAUGACCGAUAGCGAACUAGUACCGUGAGGGAAAGGUGAAAAGCACCCCGACAAGGGGAGUGAAAGAGUACCUGAAACCGAUUGCCUACAAACAGUGGGAGUCCAAGGUUCGUCCUGGGUGACCACGUACCUUUUGUAUAAUGGGUCAGCGACUUAGUGUGACGAGCAAGCUUAAACCGCUAGGUGUAGGCGCAGCGAAAGCGAGUCUGAACAGGGCGUUCAGUUCGUCGCAUUAGACCCGAAACCGAGUGAUCUAGCCAUGAGCAGGUUGAAGGUAAGGUAACACUUACUGGAGGACCGAACCCAUAACUGUUGCAAUAGUUCGGGAUGACUUGUGGCUAGGGGUGAAAGGCCAAUCAAACUCGGAAAUAGCUGGUUCUCCGCGAAAUCUAUUUAGGUAGAGCGUCGACCGAAUACCCCAGGGGGUAGAGCACUGGAUGGGCUAGGGGUCCUCACCGGAUUACCAAACCUAACCAAACUCCGAAUACCUGGGAGUACUAGUCGGCAGACACACGGCGGGUGCUAACGUCCGUCGUGAAAAGGGAAACAACCCUGACCUACAGCUAAGGUCCCCAAGUUAUGGCUAAGUGGGAAAGGAUGUGAGGAUCCCAAAACAACCAGGAUGUUGGCUUAGAAGCAGCCAUCAUUUAAAGAAAGCGUAACAGCUCACUGGUCUAAAUAAGGGUCUUUGCGCCGAAAAUGUAACGGGGCUCAAGCCAUACACCGAAGCUUAGGGUUCGUANNNNNNNNNNNNNNNNNNNNNNNNNNNNNNNNNNNNNNNNNNNNNNNNNNNNNNNNNNNNNNNNNNNNNNNNNNNNNNNNNNNNNNNNNNNNNNNNNNCGGGCUGCUGCGUGGUUCCAGGAAAUAGCUCCUCCUUAUAGACCGUACCCGAAACCGACACUGGUGGACUGGUAGAGUAUACCAAGGCGCUUGAGAGAACUAUGCUGAAGGAACUCGGCAAAUUGCACGCGUAACUUCGGAAGAAGCGUGACCCUUUUCCACGCAAGUGGAGGAGGGUGGCACAGACCAGGGGGUAGCGACUGUUUAUCAAAAACACAGGGCUCUGCGAAGUCGCAAGACGACGUAUAGGGUCUGACGCCUGCCCGGUGCUGGAAGGUUAAGAGGAGGGGUGCAAGCUCUGAAUCGAAGCCCCAGUAAACGGCGGCCGUAACUAUAACGGUCCUAAGGUAGCGAAAUUCCUUGUCGGGUAAGUUCCGACCUGCACGAAUGGCGUAACGACUUCCCCGCUGUCUCCAGCAUAGACUCAGUGAAAUUGAAUUCCCCGUGAAGAUGCGGGGUUCCUGCGGUUAGACGGAAAGACCCCGUGCACCUUUACUAUAGCUUUACAUUGGCAUUCGUAGUGGCAUGUGUAGGAUAGGUGGUAGGCUUUGAAACCUGGGCGCCAGCUCAGGUGGAGCCACCCUUGAAAUACCACCCUUAUCACUAUGGAUGUCUAACCGCGGCCCGUUAUCCGGGUCCGGGACAAUGUAUGGUGGGUAGUUUGACUGGGGCGGUCGCCUCCUAAAGAGUAACGGAGGCGCGCGAUGGUGGGCUCAGAACGGUCGGAAAUCGUUCGCUGAGUGCAAUGGCAUAAGCCUGCCUGACUGCGAGACUGACAAGUCGAGCAGAGACGAAAGUCGGUCAUAGUGAUCCGGUGGUCCCGCGUGGAAGGGCCAUCGCUCAACGGAUAAAAGGUACGCCGGGGAUAACAGGCUGAUGACCCCCAAGAGUCCAUAUCGACGGGGUUGUUUGGCACCUCGAUGUCGACUCAUCGCAUCCUGGGGCUGGAGCAGGUCCCAAGGGUAUGGCUGUUCGCCAUUUAAAGCGGUACGUGAGUUGGGUUCAGAACGUCGUGAGACAGUUCGGUCCCUAUCUGCCGUGGGUGUAGGAAUAUUGAAAGGAUCUGUCCCUAGUACGAGAGGACCGGGAUGGACGGAUCUCUGGUGGACCUGUUGUGGCGCCAGCCGCAUAGCAGGGUAGCUAUAUCCGGACGGGAUAACCGCUGAAGGCAUCUAAGCGGGAAACCCACCUUAAAACGAGUAUUCCCUGAGAACCGUGGAAGACGACCACGUUGAUAGGCCGGGUGUGGAAGAGCGGCAACGCUUGAAGCUUACCGGUACUAAUAGUUCGAUCGGCUUGAUCGUUCUCAUU
Molecule: ribosomal RNA, 2633 nt
Filed under: Mesorhizobium sp.
Lineage: Bacteria; Pseudomonadati; Pseudomonadota; Alphaproteobacteria; Hyphomicrobiales; Phyllobacteriaceae
Description: 23S ribosomal RNA
Rfam family: Bacterial large subunit ribosomal RNA
Source: RNAcentral